GCAGAUGUACGCUAAUUUGGUUAAACAUCUUCCCUUCCAUGAGACGAAGUUUGAGGUAAGGAAGCUAUCUGGGUUCAAAUCCCAGCAUCUGCACCA
This 96-nucleotide transfer RNA is filed under the name marine sediment metagenome. RNAcentral's name for it is "tRNA-Gly". It matches the Rfam family "tRNA". From Rfam's summary of the family: Transfer RNA (tRNA) molecules are approximately 80 nucleotides in length. Their secondary structure includes four short double-helical elements and three loops (D, anti-codon, and T loops). Further hydrogen bonds mediate the characteristic L-shaped molecular structure. tRNAs have two regions of fundamental functional importance: the anti-codon, which is responsible for specific mRNA codon recognition, and the 3' end, to which the tRNAs corresponding amino acid is attached (by aminoacyl-tRNA synthetases). tRNAs cope with the degeneracy of the genetic code in two manners: having more than one tRNA (with a specific anti-codon) for a particular amino acid; and 'wobble' base-pairing, i.e. permitting non-standard base-pairing at the 3rd anti-codon position. The record is from RNAcentral.